GACGAACGCUGGCGGCGUGCUUAACACAUGCAAGUCGAGCGGUAACGCUCCUUCGGGUGUCCCCGAGCGGCGCACGGGUGCGUAACACGUGAGUAAUCUGCCCUUCCCUUCUGUAUAACCACCGUAACCGGUGGCUACUACCGCAUACGACCAGUCUUCCCAUGAGGUGCUGGUGGAAAGUCUUUUCGCUGAAGGCUGUGCUCGCGGCCUAUCAGCUUGUUGGUGGGGUAAUGGCCUACCAAGGCGUCGACGGGUAGCCGGCCUGAGAGGGUGACCGGCCAAAAUGGGACUGAGACACGGCCGAGAGGCAGAAGGGGGGAAGAAGUGGGGAAGAUCGGACGAGGGGUGAAAGCAUAAGGCAGCAACGCAGAGUGAGGGAUGACGGCAUUCGGGUUGUGAACCGAUUGCAGUACAGACGAAGCGUACUGGCGGGUGGUGACGGUAGGUAAAGAAGAAGGACCGGCCAACUACGUG
Molecule: ribosomal RNA, 474 nt
Filed under: uncultured bacterium
Lineage: Bacteria
Description: partial 16S ribosomal RNA
Rfam family: Bacterial small subunit ribosomal RNA
Source: RNAcentral